CAGGCCUAACACUGCAAGGUCGAGGCAAGAAAAGAGGUGGCCUAUAUCCCCGAGAUAAAUAGGCCCACGGGUACAUAACACGUAGGCAAUCUACCUUCGGGUGCGGAAUACUCCCAGAAAUAUGGGCUAUUACCGGAUUAUGCAUCUCCACCAACUAGUAUGUAGAUCAAAUCCUCGUAACGCCUAUAGAUUAGCUCGCGUGGGGUUACUAGGUUGCGUGAGUGUAAAGAGCCCUCCAAGGCUACGAUCAGAAGGUGUCUGAGAUGAUCAUCAGCCACACUGGAACUGAGACACUGUCCAUAAUCCACGGGAGGCAGCUUUGAGGAAUAUGGGUCAGUGGUCCAAAGACUGAGGCGAAACGCUGAUUGAAGGAUGAAUGUUGUAAGAGUAGAAACUCCUG
RNAcentral lists this ribosomal RNA (400 nucleotides) under uncultured bacterium. Its description in RNAcentral is "bacterial SSU rRNA". It matches the Rfam family "Bacterial small subunit ribosomal RNA", at positions 43 to 435 of the family's 1533-position model. The record is from RNAcentral.